This 274-nucleotide ribosomal RNA is filed under the name uncultured bacterium. RNAcentral describes it as "partial 16S ribosomal RNA". It matches the Rfam family "Bacterial small subunit ribosomal RNA", at positions 523 to 796 of the family's 1533-position model. The record is from RNAcentral.
AUACGGAGGGUGCAAGCGUUAUCCGGAUUUAUUGGGUUUAAAGGGUGCGCAGGCGGACCUGUCAGUCAGUGGUGAAAUCCCGGGGCUCAACCCCGGAACUGCCAUUGAUACUACAGGUCUUGAGUACGGUUGAAGUAGGCGGAAUGUAGCAUGUAGCGGUGAAAUGCAUAGAUAUGCUACAGAACACCGAUCGCGAAGGCAGCUUACUAAGCCGAUAUUGACGCUCAGGCACGAAAGCGUGCGUAGCGAACAGGAUUAGAAACCCCAGUAGUCC